GAUGAACGCUGGCGGCGUGCCUAAUACAUGCAAGUCGAGCGAACGGACGAGAAGCUUGCUUCUCUGAUGUUAGCGGCGGACGGGUGAGUAACACGUGGAUAACCUACCUAUAAGACUGGGAUAACUUCGGGAAACCGGAGCUAAUACCGGAUGAUAUUUUGAACCGCAUGGUUCAAAAGUGAAAGACGGUCUUGCUGUCACUUAUAGAUGGAUCCGCGCUGCAUUAGAUAGUUGGUAAGGUAACGGCUUACCAAGGCAACGAUGCAUAGCCGACCUGAGAGGGUGAUCGGCCACACUGGAACUGAGACACGGUCCAGACUCCUACGGGAGGCAGCAGUAGGGAAUCUUCCGCAAUGGGCGAAAGCCUGACGGAGCAACGCCGCGUGAGUGAUGAAGGUCUUCGGAUCGUAAAACUCUGUUAUUAGGGAAGAACAUAUGUGUAAGUAACUGUGCACAUCUUGACGGUACCUAAUCAGAAAGCCACGGCUAACUACGUG
This 497-nucleotide ribosomal RNA is filed under the name uncultured bacterium. RNAcentral describes it as "partial 16S ribosomal RNA". It matches the Rfam family "Bacterial small subunit ribosomal RNA", at positions 28 to 507 of the family's 1533-position model. The record is from RNAcentral.